CAUGCAGGCGGUCGGACGCGUUUUGUGUGACGGCGGGUGGCUUAACUACCCGAGUAUGCGAAAGACGGUUUGACUUGAGGGCUCGAGAGGGACACGGAAUUCCGGGUGGAGUGGUGAAAUGCGUAGAGAUCCGGAGGAACACCGAAGGCGAAGGCAGUGUCCUGGCGAGUGACUGACGCUGAGGUGCGAAAGCUAGGGGAGCGAACG
This 207-nucleotide ribosomal RNA is filed under the name uncultured bacterium. RNAcentral describes it as "partial 16S ribosomal RNA". It matches the Rfam family "Bacterial small subunit ribosomal RNA", at positions 568 to 774 of the family's 1533-position model. The record is from RNAcentral.